Long non-coding RNA from Lagopus leucura (white-tailed ptarmigan), 1132 nucleotides. RefSeq lists it as uncharacterized. The transcript has 5 exons. NCBI's taxonomy places the organism in Eukaryota, Metazoa, Chordata, Aves, Galliformes, Phasianidae. The record is from RefSeq and is a predicted model, not a curated record.
CCGGGGACAGCCCCGCUGCGGCCGUGUGGAGGUGUGAGGGAAGAGGAUGCGCUACGAUAACGGGGGCAGAAUUCAAGCCUGGAUUCUGCAGAGAGCUGCAAUCCCUCUUACAGAAAGUUAUAGACUACAACUAAAGACAUGUUAUGGCUUGAGGUGAGAAAGCCAUAAAUUUUGCUGCAUCUCAUCAUUUCUUUAAAGAUUUCUCUGCAUACACUAUCCACAAACCUCAGCUAAGAAGCAGUCUUUCAGGUUUCACACCAUGCUACCCUGAAUACCCCUUGGUACCACAUCAGCUUUGAACGUGAACAAGAGUUCCAACUUCUCAUCCUUCAUCAUCAGGAUGGCAUUGAGGAUUUGGUGCAAAGCAGAUCAUCAGGAUUGUCGCAUCCCAUUUCACCUUCCACUAAUGAUGGAAAGUGGUGCAAAAUGCUGACAUUUUAGAGGCUGAUUUUUCAGCCUUCUUUGCAGUAUCUGGACAAGCUGAUUGCUUUUAAAAAUGCCAUCAAGAGAUGACUGCUUAUUAUCCUGAGAUUUUGAUUGUUAACAUAAGUUUGAACUUCAGAAUUCCUCUCACAGACCUGUGUUCUCUCUGCAACGAGGAAGCAAAGGCUUUAGUAUCUUUUCUACUGAGCAACAGUGCAGGAGGAGUCAAACUUCAGCAGCCCUAAAGCAGUUUAUUUUUGUUACAUCCAAUUCUGAUUGAAUAUCCACUGUUUUUGAUACAGCACGUUAUAUCUCAUUUAGCUUUCAAAGCAAUAAUUCCACAUAGCCACAGGCUUACCAGCAUCACUCUGAGAAUGCCUUGAACUCAUGAUGGUUAUUAUAUGCAAAGAUAUUUAAUGAUUAAAUUAUUACACAAAUUGCAGUGAUGCUGGAAGCCAGAUCUCAUUAGUAUGAAUGCAGAACAAAGACAAGACGGAUGCUGCACAGCCACAAUUGAGAUUCUCUACAUAUUUCUACUACUGUGAUACAUAACAUAUAUGAACACAUGGAUAUUCACGAAUACUCUGCAACUUAAUGGAGCUUUAAAGGCUAACAGCAACACAGCUGCUUCAGCACAGCUGGGCAGCCCAAGAAAGUUUUCCAUGGAAAAUGGGUGGUGGAUGACUGCAGAGUGGAAAAUAGGUAAUGA